RNAcentral lists this transfer RNA (82 nucleotides) under Actinomycetota bacterium. RNAcentral describes it as "Actinobacteria bacterium tRNA-Tyr". It matches the Rfam family "tRNA". Rfam says of the family: Transfer RNA (tRNA) molecules are approximately 80 nucleotides in length. Lineage: Bacteria; Bacillati; Actinomycetota. The record is from RNAcentral.
GCGGGCGCUGAGCACUGGUGAGCUCCCCCGGCUGUAAACCGGGCGUCUCCUGGCUGUGGUGGUUCGACUCCAUCCGUCCGCA